This 429-nucleotide ribosomal RNA is filed under the name Acidobacteriota bacterium. RNAcentral's name for it is "Acidobacteria bacterium partial 16S ribosomal RNA". It matches the Rfam family "Bacterial small subunit ribosomal RNA", at positions 355 to 776 of the family's 1533-position model. Lineage: Bacteria; Pseudomonadati; Acidobacteriota. The record is from RNAcentral.
UAGGGAAUAUUCCACAAUGGGCGAAAGCCUGAUGGAGCAACACCGCGUGUGUGAUGAAGGGUUUCGGCUCGUAAAACACUGUUGUAAGAGAAGAAUGACAUAGAGAGUAACUGUUCAAUGUGUGACGGUAUCUUAACAGAAAGGAACGGCUAAAUACGUGCCAGCAGCCGCGGUAAUACGUAUGUUCCAAGCGUUAUCCGGUUUUAUUGGGCGUAAAGCGAGCGCAGACGGUUAUUUAAGUCUGAAGUGAAAGCCCUCAGCUCAACUGAGGAAUUGCUUUGGAAACUGGAUGACUUGAGUGCAGUAGAGGAAAGUGGAACUCCAUGUGUAGCGGUGAAAUGCGUAGAUAUAUGGAAGAACACCAGUGGCGAAGGCGGCUUUCUGGACUGUAACUGACGUUGAGGCUCGAAAGUGUGGGUAGCAAACAGG